Molecule: ribosomal RNA, 776 nt
Filed under: uncultured fungus
Lineage: Eukaryota; Fungi
Description: eukaryotic LSU rRNA
Rfam family: 5.8S ribosomal RNA (bases 228-381)
Source: RNAcentral
UAGGUGAACCUGCGGAAGGAUCAUUAUUGUACAAUGGAGGUGCAAGGGUUGUUGCUGACCUUUCAAAGGUCGUGCACACCUGAGUGGCCUUCACACAAUCCAUUUCACCCUUUGUGCAUCACUGCGUGGGUUCUCCUGGAAGGGAGGGCCUGCGUUUUUUUUUCCACACAAACCCUAAAAGCAGUGUAGAAUGUAUUUUUCUUUUUGCGGUGACACGCAAUCAAUACAACUUUCAACAACGGAUCUCUUGGCUCUCGCAUCGAUGAAGAACGCAGCGAAAUGCGAUACGUAAUGUGAAUUGCAGAAUUCAGUGAAUCAUCGAAUCUUUGAACGCACCUUGCGCCCCUUGGCAUUCCGAGGGGCACACCCGUUUGAGUGUCGUGAAAUUCUCAAAACCCUUUCUUUGAUAUUUUUGAUCAAGAAAUGGAUUUUGGACUUGGGGGAUCAAUGCUCACUCUCACUUAUUGAAGGUGGGCUCCUCUCAAAUGAAUUAGUGGGGUUUGCUUUGCUGAUCCUUGACGUGAUAAGAUAUUUUUGUUUUACGUUUUUGAUUUAGCACUGUCCCUCCAACUGUCUUAUGGACAAUGAUGGCGUUCUGGUCACCACUGCCUUCGGUGGAUGGCUGGACCCACAAGAAAACCUUGACCUCAAAUCGGGUGAGACUACCCGCUGAACUUAAGCAUAUCAAUAAGCGGAGGAAAAGAAACUAACAAGGAUUCCCCUAGUAACUGCGAGUGAAGCGGGAAAAGCUCAAAUUUAAAAUCUGGUGGUCUUUG